GCCCGGAUAGCUCAGUCGGUAGAGCGUUAGGCUUUUAACCUAACGGUCCAGGGUCCAGGGUUCGAGUCCCUGUUCGGGCG
This 80-nucleotide transfer RNA is filed under the name Caerostris darwini. RNAcentral's name for it is "tRNA-Lys". It matches the Rfam family "tRNA". Rfam says of the family: Transfer RNA (tRNA) molecules are approximately 80 nucleotides in length. Their secondary structure includes four short double-helical elements and three loops (D, anti-codon, and T loops). Further hydrogen bonds mediate the characteristic L-shaped molecular structure. tRNAs have two regions of fundamental functional importance: the anti-codon, which is responsible for specific mRNA codon recognition, and the 3' end, to which the tRNAs corresponding amino acid is attached (by aminoacyl-tRNA synthetases). tRNAs cope with the degeneracy of the genetic code in two manners: having more than one tRNA (with a specific anti-codon) for a particular amino acid; and 'wobble' base-pairing, i.e. permitting non-standard base-pairing at the 3rd anti-codon position. The record is from RNAcentral. Lineage: Eukaryota; Metazoa; Arthropoda; Arachnida; Araneae; Araneidae.